CUCAGCCCAGAUGAACUUGCACUGAAAUGCCGGUCAGAGCUGGAAAAGUUACAUUCCAUUACCAGAGAGCAGAUAUCUGCAGUUGAAGAAGAGUCCAGGGGCCAAGCAACAUCAACAACUUGGUUUCAACAAAGAGCUGGGCGAAUUACGGCCUCGAAUUUUAAGGCAACGACCAGGACCAAUGUCUCAAAGCCAUCCAAGUCAUUGAUCAAGAGAAUCUGCUAUCCUGAACUGUGUAGAUUUUCAACAGCCGCAACUAGAUGGGGUUGCGAUCACAAGUCGGACGCAAGGAAGCGGUACGAAAUGAUAAUGACCCAGCGGCACACUGGCCUAAACGUUGACGAAACCGGAUUCCACAUGUCUGCCGACCGUCCAUAUUUUGGCGCAUCACCGGAUGGGCUACUCUCGUGUGACUGCUGUGGCAAAGGGUGCCUCGAAAUUAAGUGUCCCUUCUGCAUCAAAGAUAAAGGAGUGGAAGAGGUUGCUGGUGAGUCCAAGGCGGUCUGUUUGGAGCAGAAAUCGAACGGCAAUUGCGUGCUACGUGAAGACCACCAGUAUUAUUACCAAGUACAAUCACAACUGUAUUGUACUGGCAGGAAGUACUGUGACUUUGUCGUAUGGAAGGAGAAUCUACUCUUUAUUCAGCGCAUCAUUCCUGAUGAUUCCUUCCUGGCAAACGAACUGGCCAAGAUGGACAAUUUCUAUCUCCGUUGUAUUAUGCCAGAGCUAUUAGCUAAAGUGUACACGGUAGAACAAUCUGUUGCUACCACUGCAUCCGCUUCGGAAGAGUUUGUUUGCUACUGCCGUAACCCUCCCACUGAGGAUAUGUUGGUUUGUAAAUCCGAGCACUGCAGCAUCAAAGCAUUCCACAUGAAAUGUCUUGGCAUAAAACGAGUCCCACAACGAUGGUUUUGCCCUAACUGUAAGAAGUUGGAAGUAAAACAGAAAAAGUUGUUUCUGUAAGAUUCUUUCCUGGUAUUUAAUACAGAAAAAAUAUGGAUGCAACAUCAUUACUCAAAUGGUACAAUUGGGUCGGAUAAAUUUGUAAGUGCGCAUGACACUUGUACAAUUUUAUCUAAUGUUGUGAAACCACUGUCAUCCGAUGACAAUAAAGA
This is a long non-coding RNA of Entelurus aequoreus (snake pipefish), 1115 nucleotides long. RefSeq lists it as uncharacterized. The record is from RefSeq and is a predicted model, not a curated record. NCBI's taxonomy places the organism in Eukaryota, Metazoa, Chordata, Actinopteri, Syngnathiformes, Syngnathidae. The transcript has 3 exons.